CUCCCCUUCAUCCAACAUCCAGAUCUGAUAGAGAUCAGAUCUAAGAAGAGAAAAUAGAGAGAAAAGAAGAAGAAAAAGAGUUUUUCUUCUCUUUAUGAUGAUCUGGUUCAGAUCCCGUUGGAUUUGUGCGAAAGAGUUCGCAUAGCGAUCUUCUUCUUCAAGAUCUAGAAGAAGAGAUCUAGAUCUAAAGAUGAGGAGCGAGAUCUGCAAGGUGCUAGCACACCGAUGAUCUCAGUGCUCUAAUUAGGUAGCUCUGUGUGGAUACUAGUAGAGGU
RNAcentral lists this long non-coding RNA (275 nucleotides) under Elaeis guineensis (African oil palm). Its description in RNAcentral is "long non-coding RNA (EGUI_LNC020122)". Lineage: Eukaryota; Viridiplantae; Streptophyta; Magnoliopsida; Arecales; Arecaceae. The record is from RNAcentral.